This 71-nucleotide microRNA precursor is filed under the name Paramuricea clavata. The record is from RNAcentral. Lineage: Eukaryota; Metazoa; Cnidaria; Anthozoa; Malacalcyonacea; Plexauridae.
UUUGUAUUACGUGCGUAAAUUGUUACCAUUUUUGAGCCGAAAAUGGUAACACUUUCCGCACGUAUUUGCAU